UUCGUAGGGGGCUAGCGUUGUCCGGAUUUAUUGGGCGUAAAGAGCGUGUAGGCGGCCGGGUAAGUCCGGUGUGAAAACUCGAGGCUUAACCUCGAGAUGUCAUCGAAACUAUUCGGCUAGAGUCCGGAAGAGGAGAGUGGAAUUCCUGGUGUAGCGGUGAAAUGCGCAGAUAUCAGGAAGAACACCAAUGGCGAAAGCAGCUCUCUGGGACGGUACUGACGCUGAGACGCGAAAGCGUGGGGAGCGAACAGG
This 252-nucleotide ribosomal RNA is filed under the name uncultured bacterium. Its description in RNAcentral is "partial 16S ribosomal RNA". It matches the Rfam family "Bacterial small subunit ribosomal RNA", at positions 524 to 776 of the family's 1533-position model. The record is from RNAcentral.